This 492-nucleotide ribosomal RNA is filed under the name uncultured bacterium. RNAcentral's name for it is "partial 16S ribosomal RNA". It matches the Rfam family "Bacterial small subunit ribosomal RNA", at positions 29 to 507 of the family's 1533-position model. The record is from RNAcentral.
AGUGAACGCUGGCGGUAGGCCUAACACAUGCAAGUCGAACGGCAGCACAGUAAGAGCUUGCUCUUACGGGUGGCGAGUGGCGGACGGGUGAGGAAUACAUCGGAAUCUACUUUUUCGUGGGGGAUAACGUAGGGACACUUACGCUAAUACCGCAUACGACCUACGGGUGAAAGCAGGGGAUCUUCGGACCUUGCGCGAUUGAAUGAGCCGAUGUCGGAUUAGCUAGUUGGCGGGGUAAAGGCCCACCAAGGCGACGAUCCGUAGCUGGUCUGAGAGGAUGAUCAGCCACACUGGAACUGAGACACGGUCCAGACCCCUACGGGAGGCAGCAGUGGGGAAUAUUGGACAAUGGGCGCAAGCCUGAUCCAGCCAUACCGCGUGGGUGAAGAAGGCCUUCUGGUUGUAAAGCCCUUUUGUUGGGAAAGAAAAGCAGCAGGUUAAUACCCCGCUGUUCUGACGGUACCCAAAGAAUAAGCACCGGCUAACUUCGUG